AGAAUACAUAAAAUAGCAUGUCAUGGGACCUUUAACAUAUCUUUUAUUCCCGACAUACAGACAAAAUCAAACACUGUCAAAAAACGGUAUAUCAAUGAAGAUUCUAAUGUACUUUUUAAAAAGGCCAUCUCCUUGCUACCACCUCUAAACCCAUGUUCUGCUGAUGAUCUUGUAGAAAACUUUAAUUUGAAAAUUUUGAAAGUCAUAGAUGUCAUUGCACCUUAUAAGGUUAAAACGAUUUCUGGAAAGCAAAAGGCACCCUGGAGAAAAGCUGCUUCUGUAACAGCACAGAAAAAGGAAUGCAGGAAGGUUGAACGCAUCUGGCGUAAAACAAAACUUCAUAUUCACCAUGAUAUCUAUAAAGAGAGCCUCCGUGCCUACAAUUUAGACUUAAAAAAUGCUAGAGAAACAUUUUUCUCCAAUAUCAUUAAAACCAACACUAAUAAUGCAAAAACCCUAUUUGCAACUGUUGACAGACUGACCAACCCCCCAACAGAAAUUCCACCUGAUCUCCAUUCCACGCAGAAAUGCAAUGAGUUUGCAGCUUUUUAUAUUGAUAAAAUUGAAGGUAUCAGACGCGCCAUCAAUAUCUCCACGUCAAACAAAAAUGUUGGACUACCACCCUGUUCAGGCAAAAAUUACGUGGCAAGGAUGGCAUGCUUUAAUGUUAUAGACUCUCAAAAUCUUGUGGAAACUGUGACACAACUAAAGCCAUCCACCUGUUGCCUUGAUACUAUACCUACCAACCUCUUUAAGAAUGUUUUCGACUGCCUAGCAGUAGACAUAUUGCAGAUAGUUAACAACUCUCUCCAGUCAGGCAAGUUCCCAAAAGCUUUGAAAACUGCAGUUAUUAAACCCCUUUUAAAAAAGCGGAGCCUAGAUGCCUCUAUUAUUAACAACUACAGACCAAUAUCAAAUCUACCCUUCAUAAGUAAAAUCAUUGAGAAAGUUGUCCUCCAGCAACUAAAUCACUUCCUGGCAUCAACUGGUUGCUAUGACAUCUUCCAAUCAGGAUUUAGACCCCUGCACAGCACUGAGACCGCCCCUAUUAAAGUUGUAAACGACAUCCGUCUUAACACAGACUCUGGCAAAACCUCAAUACUAAUGCUACUUGACCUCAGUGCUGCAUUCGACACUGUAGACCAGGGGUACUCAAGUAGAAAUGAUGAGGGGCCACAAAUUUUUUUUUCAGUGACUCAAGGGGCCGGUCGGUAUACGUGUGACUGA
This 1227-nucleotide long non-coding RNA is filed under the name Gadus morhua (Atlantic cod). Its description in RNAcentral is "lncRNA (ENSGMOG00000022460.1)". Lineage: Eukaryota; Metazoa; Chordata; Actinopteri; Gadiformes; Gadidae. The record is from RNAcentral.